RNAcentral lists this ribosomal RNA (371 nucleotides) under uncultured organism. RNAcentral's name for it is "bacterial SSU rRNA". It matches the Rfam family "Bacterial small subunit ribosomal RNA", at positions 526 to 897 of the family's 1533-position model. The record is from RNAcentral.
CGUAGGGUGCAAGCGUUAAUCGGAAUUACUGGGCGUAAAGCGUGCGCAGGCGGUUUUAUAAGUCUGAUGUGAAAUCCCCGGGCUCAACCUGGGAACUGCAUUGGAGACUGUAAGGCUAGAGUGUGUCAGAGGGGGGUAGAAUUCCACGUGUAGCAGUGAAAUGCGUAGAUAUGUGGAGGAAUACCGAUGGCGAAGGCAGCCCCCUGGGAUAACACUGACGCUCAUGCACGAAAGCGUGGGGAGCAAACAGGAUUAGAUACCCUGGUAGUCCACGCCCUAAACGAUGUCUACUAGUUGUCGGGUCUUAAUUGACUUGGUAACGCAGCUAACGCGUGAAGUAGACCGCCUGGGGAGUACGGUCGCAAGAUUAA